CAUGCAGACUGAGAGGAAAUCCAAAGUUCAGGGUGUUUUAAUCCAGUCAGGGUCGGUACACAAAGGGCAGUCAGCACAGGCAGAGGUAUCCAAAUCAACAGGCAUAAACUCACUGGUCUAAAUACCAACAGGUCAAUCUCAUGAGGAGGACACACUGGGAAGAACACUGGGAAGCUCACACGCAGGACAAGACGAUGGAGCAGAGAACAAAGGGAAGACUCAGACUUAUAUACACUCUGACAGGGGAGAUAAUGACACACAGGUGAAAGCAAUCAGACAGGUCAGAUCACUGCAAACAAAGCACAUGAAGAGUUUAUUUAUUAGACCUUGUUAUACAGUAAACUACCCAGCUGUUGAUAUCAGCAGAUUUAAAGAUUAGUCGAUUAAUGAAAUACUCCUAAUGUGAUUGUGAGUUUUAAUCUGCUUUGGUUUUUAAUACUUUAAUUAUACAAAUGGGCUUCAAAGUGCAGGUACAAACACUGGCUGAGGGCUGACUUAUAACAGAAACUCUACACUGAGGACAGUCUGAGAGGGCUGCACAGAAAAUAUAACAGUAUGAUCAUACAGACCUUAUAUAGUGUUUUCAUAUUAUGGUGUUUUGCAUUCUUACCUUAAGAUUCUUAUCAUGAAUUUGUAUAUUUAAUUGUUCUGUUUCUCUUCAUGCCUUUAAGUAUUUUCUUUGUCUAUGAGGCACUUUGAGCUGCAAUCCAUGUAUAAAAAGUUCUAUAUAAAUAAAAUGUGUUAUUAUUAUUAUAGUCUGUAUCCUUAACAUACAUCCUGACAUACCAUCAUUUAUCAUAUUUGUAAUAUGUUCUGAUUCUAUAUUAUAUUUGUAUAACGUCUCUAAAUUAAUGCAGACAUACACCAGCUACCACUUCUUUAUCAUAUCAUCAGUCUGGUGCAAUGUUCCCUCUAAUUUUGAAAACUCCCGAGCAGACAUUCAACUCCUCUGAUCACCUACUUGAGCGACUGUGGGCAACAUCUGACGCGUACACACUACAUCCACAUAGGGGUGCCAUGGCAUCACCUCUCCAACCCCAAAUAUCAUUACAAGUGAAUAUUACUGGAAAGAUUAAUAAUAAGAUUAUUUUAACAACAUGAACUACUGAAUAUCUAGGUCAGUUACAAUUAACAAAAACAAAACAUUGUUUUGGCAAAAUAGAUUUUGCAUUUAUUGCCAUAAUGUGAACAAUUAAGAGAAGAAUGUGCUCCAUAAAAGUCACUUGGAGACAAGACACAAACAUUUAAGAGUGAUGGCAACACAAAGAGCAAACAACUCUUUGGAAUACAAAAUAAUUAACACUCUUUAAUAGUAAUUGCCAGCUACUUUAGGCCUCUUAACUGCAACAAAUAUAAUAUGCCAGAUCAAAAACUAAAUGUAAACUUAAAUUGUAGUUGUACUACUACAGACAGUACCACUGUACUGGAUGAAAACAUUUUCCUGGCAAAAAAUAUCAGUGGCCAGCAGUGCAAUGAGUGCAUGUAAACAUACACUGUAAACAAAAACUGUAGCAGAGCUACCACUGCAGACAGUGCUGUACUGGAGGAAGUUUUACUGGCAAAAUAUAUUGCUGGCCUGGCCAGGUAGUGCAGAAAAAUAUCAGAAUAUGUUUAUGUUGUAAGUGUUUGUGCAUACAUAUUGUGUGUGUGUGUGUGUGUGUGUGUGUGUGUGUGUGUGUGUGUGUGUGUGUGUGUGUGUGUGUGUGUAAACUCGCCUUGUACUUUUGCUUCACGUCUUGCACGUAGAGAUGUACAUUCCCGAUACCGAUUCCGAUCCCUGAACCUUAGGUAUCUGCCGAUACCGAGUACCAAUCCGAUACCAGCGCGUAAAAUAAAAAUGGAUGGGUUAUGAAUUGUUGUAUGUCUCAGUUCCUAAAACUCAAUGUAAAAUAUUAAGAAAUAAAUACAUAAUAGUAGAUGAAUGCCAUAAAACAUUUUUUAUGAUUAUUAUCCAGUGUUGACACAGAUCAAGACACAGGUUAAAGUGCAGCCACACAAUUUGGUAAAAAAGACAUUUUAAAGGCUACAGUAGAAUGCUUUUUAAACUCCGCUCUGUUUCCGUUUCGUUUGCCUGUAGCGUGCGUAUGCGUAAUGACAUGAGGCAUUACGUGGUAUCAGAUUAGUCAUAGGAUGUACUUGCCGAUACCCGAUACCGCAUUUUAGGCAGUAUUGGAGGCGUUUCCGAUACUGGUAUCGAUAUCAGUACAACUCUACUUGCACGUCUCGCAAACAACUCCAUUCUCGCUUGAAGAAGAAAAAAUAUCGCCGAGUUUCACUGGUGGCGUACGUUCGUCUGACGGCCACUCCACCUUAAACGACACGCGAUUUUUCUUAAGAUUUCCAGAGGACGAAGCACCACAUCCCACACAUUUAGCCAUAGCUACGAUGCUAUGGCUAACGGCUAACAACAAAUACGACAGCAGCGAAUACCCAACAUAAUGCCAUUGAUUGGCUGUCAAGCUAAAAAACCGUUAGAGAUAUUGGCUGGGCAGUGCCUGGUGGGCAUGUUUGUGUAAUCAUCACUGACUGACAGUUCACUGUCAUCUGAUCUGUCACUCACUGCACAGACAAACACCCACUGUGGAGUACGUAUUUACUGUUCAAGUCGCAUAUGGGAAAAAAAAUAAAAAUAAAACAGUAAAAAGUGGUCGGGGAUAUUUGAGCGCGCAACUUUUUUGUCAUCUGCGCAAAGAGGUGGGGAGCAGUGCGCAAUUGCGCAGUAAAACAGCUUAGAGGGAACAGUGGUCUGAUGUACACUGCAGUUAGCAGAACAUGGCUGACCCUCAUAUUAGUGAUCUUGACCUGUACAUGAUACUGACAUGG
Molecule: long non-coding RNA, 2823 nt
Organism: Epinephelus moara (kelp grouper)
Lineage: Eukaryota; Metazoa; Chordata; Actinopteri; Perciformes; Serranidae
Exons: 3
Source: RefSeq, a predicted model, not a curated record